GGAUUAGAUACCCUGGUAGUCCACGCCGUAAACGAUGAGAACUAGAUGUUGGAGGGAUUUAGCCCUUCGGUGUCGUAGCUAACGCGUUAAGUUCUCCGCCUGGGGAGUACGCCGGCAACGGUAAAACUCAAAGGAAUUGACGGGGACCCGCACAAGCGGUGGAGCAUGUGGUUUAAUUCGAUGCAACGCGAAGAACCUUACCUGCCCUUGACAUCCUCGGAACUUGUCAGAGAUGACUUGGUGCCUUCGGGAACCGAGAGACAGGUGCUGCAUGGCUGUCGUCAGCUCGUGUUG
Molecule: ribosomal RNA, 294 nt
Filed under: uncultured bacterium
Lineage: Bacteria
Description: partial 16S ribosomal RNA
Rfam family: Bacterial small subunit ribosomal RNA
Source: RNAcentral